GGGGAAGUAGCUCAGCGGGAGAGCGCCUGCCUUGCAAGCAGGGGGUCGCGAGUUCGAUUCUCGUCUUCUCCACCA
RNAcentral lists this transfer RNA (75 nucleotides) under Burkholderia ubonensis. RNAcentral's name for it is "tRNA-Ala". It matches the Rfam family "tRNA". From Rfam's summary of the family: Transfer RNA (tRNA) molecules are approximately 80 nucleotides in length. Their secondary structure includes four short double-helical elements and three loops (D, anti-codon, and T loops). Further hydrogen bonds mediate the characteristic L-shaped molecular structure. tRNAs have two regions of fundamental functional importance: the anti-codon, which is responsible for specific mRNA codon recognition, and the 3' end, to which the tRNAs corresponding amino acid is attached (by aminoacyl-tRNA synthetases). tRNAs cope with the degeneracy of the genetic code in two manners: having more than one tRNA (with a specific anti-codon) for a particular amino acid; and 'wobble' base-pairing, i.e. permitting non-standard base-pairing at the 3rd anti-codon position. The record is from RNAcentral. Lineage: Bacteria; Pseudomonadati; Pseudomonadota; Betaproteobacteria; Burkholderiales; Burkholderiaceae.